RNAcentral lists this ribosomal RNA (499 nucleotides) under uncultured bacterium. RNAcentral's name for it is "bacterial SSU rRNA". It matches the Rfam family "Bacterial small subunit ribosomal RNA", at positions 21 to 507 of the family's 1533-position model. The record is from RNAcentral.
GGCUCAGGAUGAACGCUAGCUACAGGGCUUAAACACAUGCAAGUCGAGGGGAAACGAUAGAGAAGCUUGCUUUUCUAGGCGUCAACCGGCGCACGGGUGAGUAACGCGUAUCCAACCUGCCCAUCACUUGGGGAUAACCUUGCGAAAGUAAGACUAAUACCCAAUGACGUCUCUAGAAGACAUCUGAAAGAGAUUAAAGAUUUAUCGGUGAUGGAUGGGGAUGCGUCUGAUUAGCUUGUUGGCGGGGUAACGGCCCACCAAGGCGACGAUCAGUAGGGGUUCUGAGAGGAAGGUCCCCCACAUUGGAACUGAGACACGGUCCAAACUCCUACGGGAGGCAGCAGUGAGGAAUAUUGGUCAAUGGACGAGAGUCUGAACCAGCCAAGUAGCGUGCAGGAUGACGGCCCUAUGGGUUGUAAACUGCUUUUAUAAGGGAAUAAAGUGAGUCUCGUGAGACUUUUUGCAUGUACCUUAUGAAUAAGGACCGGCUAAUUCCGUG